GACAGAACCCUAGAAGGAGGAGGCAUCAGAGGUUGAUCAUUUGGAGCUUCAUUACGCGGUACAACCCCAGAAGACGAAGGCAAUAAAUGCCUUUGGAACAAACCCACAAAUCUCUGAUGAUCAAGUAAAACCUGACCAUCAGUUUCCUUCAUCUGGUCAAGCUUCCCUCUUCAUGUUUGUAGCAUAGUCAUGUGCGAGCCGGUGCAACUGUUUAUUCUCAUGCUUGAGCCCUCUAAUCUCCUGUUUGAGACUCAUCACUUCAGCC
This 265-nucleotide long non-coding RNA is filed under the name Malus domestica (apple). RNAcentral's name for it is "long non-coding RNA (MDOM_LNC017556)". Lineage: Eukaryota; Viridiplantae; Streptophyta; Magnoliopsida; Rosales; Rosaceae. The record is from RNAcentral.